RNAcentral lists this ribosomal RNA (484 nucleotides) under uncultured bacterium. Its description in RNAcentral is "partial 16S ribosomal RNA". It matches the Rfam family "Bacterial small subunit ribosomal RNA", at positions 28 to 507 of the family's 1533-position model. The record is from RNAcentral.
AUUGAACGCUGGCGGAAUGCUUUACACAUGCAAGUCGAACGGCAGCACGGGGGCAGCCCUGGUGGCGAGGGGCGGACGGGUGAGUAAUACAUCGGAACGUGCCCAGCUGUGGGGGAUAACGGGGCGAAAGUUACGCUAAUACGGCAUACGAUCUUAGGAUGAAAACGGGGGACCUUCGGACCUCGGGCGAUCGGACGGGCCGAUGUCAGAUUGGGUGGUUGGUGGGGUAAAGGCCUACCAAGCCGACGAGCUGUAGCUGGGUUGGUAGGACGACCAGCCCACCUGGGCCUGGGCAACGGCCCAGCCUCCUCCGGGAGGCAGAAGUGGGGAAUUUUGGCCAAUGGGCGCAAGCCUGAUCCAGCCAUUCCGCGUGCAGGACGAAGGCCUUCGGGUUUUAAACUGCUUUUGUACGGAACGAAAAGGCUCUGGCUAAUACCUGCGGCUCAUGCCGUUACCGUAAGAAUAAGCACCGGCUAACUCCGUG